This 1059-nucleotide ribosomal RNA is filed under the name uncultured Cryobacterium sp. RNAcentral describes it as "bacterial SSU rRNA". It matches the Rfam family "Bacterial small subunit ribosomal RNA", at positions 337 to 1394 of the family's 1533-position model. Lineage: Bacteria; Bacillati; Actinomycetota; Actinomycetes; Micrococcales; Microbacteriaceae. The record is from RNAcentral.
UCCUACGGGAGGCAGCAGUGGGGAAUAUUGCACAAUGGGCGCAAGCCUGAUGCAGCAACGCCGCGUGAGGGACGAAGGCCUUCGGGUUGUAAACCUCUUUUAGUAGGGAAGAAGCGACUGGGUUUUCCUGGGAGUGACGGUACCUGCAGAAAAAGCACCGGCUAACUACGUGCCAGCAGCCGCGGUAAUACGUAGGGUGCAAGCGUUGUCCGGAAUUAUUGGGCGUAAAGAGCUCGUAGGCGGUUUGUCGCGUCUGCUGUGAAAACCCGAGGCUCAACCUCGGGCCUGCAGUGGGUACGGGCAGACUAGAGUGCGGUAGGGGAGAUUGGAAUUCCUAGUGUAGCGGUGGAAUGCGCAGAUAUCAGGAGGAACACCAAUGGCGAAGGCAGAUCUCUGGGCCGUAACUGACGCUGAGGAGCGAAAGCAUGGGGAGCGAACAGGAUUAGAUACCCUGGUAGUCCAUGCCGUAAACGUUGGGAACUAGAUGUGGGGACCAUUCCACGGUCUCCGUGUCGCAGCUAACGCAUUAAGUUCCCCGCCUGGGGAGUACGGCCGCAAGGCUAAAACUCAAAGGAAUUGACGGGGGCCCGCACAAGCGGCGGAGCAUGCGGAUUAAUUCGAUGCAACGCGAAGAACCUUACCAAGGCUUGACAUAUACCGGAAACGGCUGGAAACAGUCGCCCCGCAAGGUCGGUAUACAGGUGGUGCAUGGUUGUCGUCAGCUCGUGUCGUGAGAUGUUGGGUUAAGUCCCGCAACGAGCGCAACCCUCGUCCUAUGUUGCCAGCACGUAAUGGUGGGAACUCAUGGGAUACUGCCGGGGUCAACUCGGAGGAAGGUGGGGAUGACGUCAAAUCAUCAUGCCCCUUAUGUCUUGGGCUUCACGCAUGCUACAAUGGCCGGUACAAAGGGCUGCGAUACCGCAAGGUGGAGCGAAUCCCAAAAAGCCGGUCUCAGUUCGGAUUGAGGUCUGCAACUCGACCUCAUGAAGUCGGAGUCGCUAGUAAUCGCAGAUCAGCAACGCUGCGGUGAAUACGUUCCCGGGCCUUGUACACACCGCC